Molecule: ribosomal RNA, 445 nt
Filed under: uncultured bacterium
Lineage: Bacteria
Description: partial 16S ribosomal RNA
Rfam family: Bacterial small subunit ribosomal RNA
Source: RNAcentral
GUGAGGAAUAUUGGACAAUGGGCGCAAGCCUGAUCCAGCCAUGCCGCGUGCAGGAAGACGCAUCUAUGGUGUGUAAACUGCUUUUGUACGGGAAGAAACACUCCCUCGUGAGGGAGCUUGACGGUACCGUAAGAAUAAGGAUCGGCUAACUCCGUGCCAGCAGCCGCGGUAAUACGGAGGAUCCAAGCGUUAUCCGGAAUCAUUGGGUUUAAAGGGUCCGUAGGCGGUUUAAUAAGUCAGUGGUGAAAGCCCAUCGCUCAACGAUGGAACGGCCAUUGAUACUGUUAGACUUGAAUUACAAGGAAGUAACUAGAAUAUGUAGUGUAGCGGUGAAAUGCUUAGAUAUUACAUGGAAUACCAAUUGCGAAGGCAGGUUACUACUUGUGGAUUGACGCUGAUGGACGAAAGCGCGGGGAGCGAACAGGAUUAGAAACCCGGGUAGUCC